Molecule: ribosomal RNA, 433 nt
Filed under: uncultured bacterium
Lineage: Bacteria
Description: partial 16S ribosomal RNA
Rfam family: Bacterial small subunit ribosomal RNA
Source: RNAcentral
AACGAACGCUGGCGGCAUGCCUAACACAUGCAAGUCGAACGAGACCUUCGGGUCUAGUGGCGCACGGGUGCGUAACGCGUGGGAACCUGCCCUUAGGUUCGGAAUAACUCCCCGAAAGGGGUGCUAAUACCGGAUAAUGUCUCCGGACCAAAGAUUUAUCGCCUUUGGAUGGGCCCGCGUUGGAUUAGCUAGUUGGUAGGGUAAAAGCCUACCAAGGCGACGAUCCAUAGCUGGUCUGAGAGGAUGAUCAGCCACACUGGGACUGAGACACGGCCCAGACUCCUACGGGAAGCAGCAGUGGGGAAUAUUGGACAAUGGGCGAAAGCCUGAUCCAGCAAUGCCGCGUGAGUGAUGAAGGCCUUAGGGUUGUAAAGCUCUUUUACCCGGGAUGAUAAUGACAGUACCGGGAGAAUAAGCUCCGGCUAACUCCGUG